UCCCAUUACGCGUACCAACAGAGACCAAUUUACGUUCAAAAUGUCAUCUUUUUCUCCCAUACGCGUAAGGCUUCCCCCCAUACGCGUACCAACAUCUCAUACGCGUAUUGCCUAGUGCCAUACGCGUAUGACCAGAGGCCAGAACUCUCAGAUCUGCAAUGGCUUUCUCUGCUACGAGAUCUAUCCAAUCCCACCUUCCACAGUCCAAUUUUCACACAAAAAUCACUCAUAUCAUCUAACACGAAUCAUUCCCUGUUCUAUUUCACAAAUCCUAACAUCAUUACUUACAA
RNAcentral lists this long non-coding RNA (290 nucleotides) under Lathyrus oleraceus (garden pea). RNAcentral describes it as "Pisum sativum (pea) long non-coding RNA (PSAT_LNC009138)". The record is from RNAcentral. Lineage: Eukaryota; Viridiplantae; Streptophyta; Magnoliopsida; Fabales; Fabaceae.